CCUCAACUCAAGCUCCAUUUCCUCCGUUACUUCAGUUAAAAGACCCACCUCCCAUCUGCCCCAAAUGAAACCAGUAUAUAGGAAUGUCACUGCAGCAGCACCCAAAAGUCCUGCAAGAAUUGUGAAGAUUGGUUGCAGCCAGCUUUUCGGUUGCCAUGCUGAACCCACGAGACGAAGGGUCCCAAGGGCACUGCGGAUGGUAGAUGCUUUAGGGAUGGACGAUGUGGAUGUUCGGGGGGAACUCGGAUUGCUGGAACGGGAAUGAUUUUUGAACGGAUCUCGUACAGCAUAAACAUUCGAGCCAAUUGGAUCAGCCUUUGAUUGGGAUAGGAUAGGCAUUAGGGGUUCAGAUGAAUUGUCGUGUGAUAAGUUCG
This 374-nucleotide small RNA is filed under the name Cryptococcus neoformans H99. Its description in RNAcentral is "Cryptococcus neoformans var. grubii H99 hypothetical RNA". Lineage: Eukaryota; Fungi; Basidiomycota; Tremellomycetes; Tremellales; Cryptococcaceae. The record is from RNAcentral.